UCUCUAAAACAAAAGCUCUCAUUUUUGAGUAACGCCCAUGCCGCACAGGGACUGUGUUGGAAACACACAUUUUUUAAAAUUGCUCAUACGCUCACAUUUUUGCAAAAUAUCAAUAUUUUUCGGUAUUUGAAGUCAUGUGCGGCAUGGAUGUUUACUAAAAAUGUGCAGGCCGAACACAUUUUUGAGCGAAGGCGUUUUUGCGUGA
Long non-coding RNA from Aedes albopictus (Asian tiger mosquito), 205 nucleotides. RefSeq lists it as uncharacterized. The transcript has 2 exons. NCBI's taxonomy places the organism in Eukaryota, Metazoa, Arthropoda, Insecta, Diptera, Culicidae. The record is from RefSeq and is a predicted model, not a curated record.